GAUGAACGCUGGCGGCGUGCCUAAUACAUGCAAGUCGAGCGAACAGACGAGGAGCUUGCUCCUCUGACGUUAGCGGCGGACGGGUGAGUAACACGUGGAUAACCUACCUAUAAGACUGGGAUAACUUCGGGAAACCGGAGCUAAUACCGGAUAACAUGUUGAACCGCAUGGUUCAACAGUGAAAGACGGUUUUGCUGCCACUUAUAGAUGGAUCCGCGCCGCAUUAGCUAGUUGGUAAGGUAACGGCUUACCAAGGCAACGAUGCGUAGCCGACCUGAGAGGGUGAUCGGCCACACUGGAAAUGAGACACGGUCCAGACUCCUACGGGAGGCAGCAGUAGGGAAUCUUCCGCAAUGGGCGAAAGCCUGACGGAGCAACGCCGCGUGAGUGAAGAAGGUCUUCGGAUCGUAAAACUCUGUUAUUAGGGAAGAACAAAUGUGUAAGUAACUAUGCACGUCUUGACGGUACCUAAUCAGAAAGCCACGGCUAACUACGUG
Molecule: ribosomal RNA, 497 nt
Filed under: uncultured bacterium
Lineage: Bacteria
Description: partial 16S ribosomal RNA
Rfam family: Bacterial small subunit ribosomal RNA
Source: RNAcentral